Molecule: ribosomal RNA, 474 nt
Filed under: uncultured bacterium
Lineage: Bacteria
Description: bacterial SSU rRNA
Rfam family: Bacterial small subunit ribosomal RNA
Source: RNAcentral
ACUCCUACGGGAGGCAGCAGUGGGGAAUAUUGCACAAUGGGCGAAAGCCUGAUGCAGCCAUGCCGCGUGUGUGAAGAAGGCCUUCGGUUGUAAAGCACUUUCAGCGAGGAGGAAAGGUUACUGGCUAAUAUCCAGUAGCUGUGACGUUACUCGCAGAAGAAGCACCGGCUAACUCCGUGCCAGCAGCCGCGGUAAUACGGAGGGGUGCGAGCGUUAAUCGGAAUUACUGGGGCGUAAAGCGUGCGCAGGCGGUUUGUUAAGCGAGAUGUGAAAGCCCCGGGCUCAACCUGGGAACUGCAUUUUGAACUGGCAAACUAGAGUCUUGUAGAGGGGGUAGAAUUCCAGGUGUAGCGGUGAAAUGCGUAGAGAUCUGGAGGAAUACCGGUGGCGAAGGCGGCCCCCUGGACAAAGACUGACGCUCAUGCACGAAAGCGUGGGGAGCAAACAGGAUUAGAUACCCUGGUAGCGACUGAU